Molecule: ribosomal RNA, 397 nt
Filed under: uncultured euryarchaeote
Lineage: Archaea; Methanobacteriati; Methanobacteriota
Description: bacterial SSU rRNA
Rfam family: Archaeal small subunit ribosomal RNA
Source: RNAcentral
CUUCACAAUGCGUGAAAGCGUGAUGAGGCCAGCCAGAGUGCGCAUGCUACGCAUGCGCUUUUGAGAAUGUGUAGGAAGCUUCUCGAAUAAGGGGUGGGCAAUACUGGUGCCAGCAGCCGCGGUAACACCAGAGCCUCAAGUGGUAGCCAUGUUUAUUGGGCUUAAAGCGUCCGUAGCUGAUUGCGUAAGUUUCCGGUGAAAUCCUGGGUCAUAAGCUCAGGGCGUACCGAAAUACUGCGUAGUUAGAGACCGGGAAGGGUUAGGGGUAUGCUAAGAGUAGGGGUGAAAUCCUGUAAUUCUUAGUGGACCAUCGGUGGCGAAGGCGCCUAACUGGAACGGGUCUGACAGUGAGGGACGAAACCUAGGGUAGCGAACCGGGAUUAGAUACCCCCGUAGU